RNAcentral lists this ribosomal RNA (207 nucleotides) under uncultured bacterium. RNAcentral's name for it is "partial 16S ribosomal RNA". It matches the Rfam family "Bacterial small subunit ribosomal RNA", at positions 568 to 774 of the family's 1533-position model. The record is from RNAcentral.
UCCGUAGGUGGAUAAUUAAGUCAGAGGUGAAAUCCUGCAGCUCAACUGUAGAAUUGCCUUUGAUACUGGUUAUCUUGAGUCAUUAUGAAGUGGUUAGAAUGUGUAGUGUAGCGGUGAAAUGCAUAGAUAUUACACGGAAUACCGAUUGCGAAGGCAGAUCACUAAUAAUGUACUGACACUGAUGGACGAAAGCGUGGGGAGCGAACA